GCGCCCGUAGCUCAGCUGGAUAGAGCAUCGGUUUCCUAAACCGGGGGUCGUGGGUUCAAAUCCCGCCGGGCGCACCA
RNAcentral lists this transfer RNA (77 nucleotides) under Alphaproteobacteria bacterium. RNAcentral describes it as "tRNA-Arg". It matches the Rfam family "tRNA". Rfam says of the family: Transfer RNA (tRNA) molecules are approximately 80 nucleotides in length. Their secondary structure includes four short double-helical elements and three loops (D, anti-codon, and T loops). Further hydrogen bonds mediate the characteristic L-shaped molecular structure. tRNAs have two regions of fundamental functional importance: the anti-codon, which is responsible for specific mRNA codon recognition, and the 3' end, to which the tRNAs corresponding amino acid is attached (by aminoacyl-tRNA synthetases). tRNAs cope with the degeneracy of the genetic code in two manners: having more than one tRNA (with a specific anti-codon) for a particular amino acid; and 'wobble' base-pairing, i.e. permitting non-standard base-pairing at the 3rd anti-codon position. The record is from RNAcentral. Lineage: Bacteria; Pseudomonadati; Pseudomonadota; Alphaproteobacteria.